This 222-nucleotide ribosomal RNA is filed under the name uncultured bacterium. RNAcentral describes it as "partial 16S ribosomal RNA". It matches the Rfam family "Bacterial small subunit ribosomal RNA", at positions 110 to 334 of the family's 1533-position model. The record is from RNAcentral.
CAAUGAUGUAGGGAUCUGCCCUGAAGUGGGGGACAACCCGGGGAAACCCGGGCUAAUACCGCAUAAUACUCUACGGAGGAAAUCUGGCUACGCAAGUAGCUGGGGCUUUAGGAUGAACCUACAUCCGAUUAGCUAGUUGGUGAGGUAAUGGCUCACCAAGGCGACGAUCAGUAGCUGGUCUGAGAGGAUGAUCAGCCACAUUGGGACUGAGACACGGCCCAA